GAACGCACAUUGCGCCCCUUGGUAUCCCGAGGGGCAUGCCUGUUCGAGCGUCAUUUCACCACUCAAGCCUGGCUUGGUGUUGGGCGACGUCCCCUUUGGGGACGCGCCUCGAAACGCUCGGCGGCGUGGCACCGGCUUUAAGCGUAGCAGAAUCUUUCGCUUUGGAAGUCGGGGCCCCGUCUGCCGGAAGACCUACUCGCAAGGUUGACCUCGGAUCAGGCAGGGAUACCCGCUGAACUUAAG
RNAcentral lists this unclassified non-coding RNA (243 nucleotides) under uncultured Cenococcum. RNAcentral's name for it is "sequence contains 5.8S rRNA gene". The stretch from base 1 to 53 matches the Rfam family "5.8S ribosomal RNA", at positions 102 to 154 of the family's 154-position model. The record is from RNAcentral. Lineage: Eukaryota; Fungi; Ascomycota; Dothideomycetes; Gloniales; Gloniaceae.